This 94-nucleotide microRNA precursor is filed under the name Callithrix jacchus (white-tufted-ear marmoset). Its description in RNAcentral is "microRNA cja-mir-181a precursor (cja-mir-181a-1)". Its record names the gene cja-mir-181a-1. The stretch from base 6 to 88 matches the Rfam family "mir-181 microRNA precursor family". From Rfam's summary of the family: In this case the mature sequence comes from the 5' arm of the precursor. Lineage: Eukaryota; Metazoa; Chordata; Mammalia; Primates; Cebidae. The record is from miRBase by way of RNAcentral.
UGAGGUUGCUUCAGUGAACAUUCAACGCUGUCGGUGAGUUUGGAAUUAAAAUCAAAACCAUCGACCGUUGAUUGUACCCUAUGGCUAACCAUCA